This 889-nucleotide ribosomal RNA is filed under the name uncultured bacterium. RNAcentral describes it as "bacterial SSU rRNA". It matches the Rfam family "Bacterial small subunit ribosomal RNA", at positions 24 to 906 of the family's 1533-position model. The record is from RNAcentral.
UCAGAAUGAACGCGGGCGGCGUGCCUAACACAUGCAAGUCGGAUGUGCCGCAAGGUGCAUGGCAGACGGGUGAGUAACGCGUGGGGAACCUACCUCUUUGUGGGGAAUAACGCUCCGAAAGGAGUGGUAAUACCGCAUGAGACCAUCGGCUGGGAUGCUGGUGGUGAAAGCUGGGGACCGUAAGGCCCAGCGCAAGGAGAGGGUCCUGCGUCUGAUUAGCUAGUUGGUGGGGUAACGGCCUACCAAGGCAUCGAUCAGUAGCCGGCCUGAGAGGGUGAUCGGCCACACUGGAACUGAGACACGGUCCAGACUCCUACGGGAGGCAGCAGUGGGGAAUUUUGCGCAAUGGGCGAAAGCCUGACGCAGCAACGCCGCGUGGGUGAUGAAGGUCUUCGGAUCGUAAAACCCUGUCGUCAGGGACGAAGGUCGCAUGUCUAAUAGAUGUGUGGCUUGACGGUACCUGGAGAGGAAGCCCCGGCUAACUCUGUGCCAGCAGCCGCGGUAAUACAGAGGGGGCAAGCGUUAUUCGGAAUUAUUGGGCGUAAAGGGUGCGUAGGCGGUGGUUUAAGUGAGAUGUGUAAUCCCCGAGCUUAACUUGGGAACUGCAUCUCAGACUGGAUCGCUAGAGUGCUGGAGAGGGUGGUAGAAUUCCACGUGUAGCGGUGAAAUGCGUAGAGAUGUGGAGGAAUACCAGUGGCGAAGGCGGCCACCUGGACAGUAACUGACGCUGAGGCACGAAAGUGUGGGUAGCAAACAGGAUUAGAUACCCUGGUAGUCCACGCUGUAAACGAUGAACACUUGGUGUGGUGGGAGUUGACCCCUGCCGUGCCGUAGCUAACGCGAUAAGUGUUCCGCCUGGGGAGUACGGUCGCAAGGCUGAAACUCAAAG